GCCUUAGUACGGCGAGUGAGCGGCAAAAGCUCAAAUUUGAAAUCUGGUACCUUUGGUGCCCGAGUUGUAAUUUGGAGAGUACCACUUUGGGACUGUACUUUGCCUAUGUUCCUUGGAACAGGACGUCAUGGAGGGUGAGAAUCCCGUGUGGCGAGGGUGUCAGUUCUUUGUAAAGGGUGCUCGAAGAGUCGAGUUGUUUGGGAAUGCAGCUCUAAGUGGGUGGUAAAUUCCAUCUAAAGCUAAAUACAGGCGAGAGACCGAUAGCGAACAAGUACAGUGAUGGAAAGAUGAAAAGAACUUUGAAAAGAGAGUGAAAAAGUACGUGAAAUUGUUGAAAGGGAAGGGCAUUUGAUCAGACAUGGUGUUUUGCGCCCCUUGCCUCUCGUGGGCUUGGGACUCUCGCAGCUCACUGGGCCAGCAUCGGUUUUGGCGGCCGGAAAAAACCUAGGGAAUGUGGCUC
This 460-nucleotide ribosomal RNA is filed under the name Nakaseomyces glabratus. RNAcentral's name for it is "eukaryotic LSU rRNA". It matches the Rfam family "Eukaryotic large subunit ribosomal RNA", at positions 77 to 541 of the family's 3401-position model. Lineage: Eukaryota; Fungi; Ascomycota; Saccharomycetes; Saccharomycetales; Saccharomycetaceae. The record is from RNAcentral.